AGUGAACGCUGGCGGUAGGCCUAACACAUGCAAGUCGAACGGCAGCACAGUAAGAGCUUGCUCUUACGGGUGGCGAGUGGCGGACGGGUGAGGAAUACAUCGGAAUCUACUUUUUCGUGGGGGAUAACGUAGGGAAACUUACGCUAAUACCGCAUACGACCUACGGGUGAAAGCAGGGGAUCUUCGGACCUUGCGCGAUUGGAUGAGCCGAUGUCGGAUUAGCUAGUUGGCGGGGUAAAGGCCCACCAAGGCGACGAUCCGUAGCUGGUCUGAGAGGAUGAUCAGCCACACUGGAACUGAGACACGGUCCAGACUCCUACGGGAGGCAGCAGUGGGGAAUAUUGGACAAUGGGCGCAAGCCUGAUCCAGCCAUACCGCGUGGGUGAAGAAGGCCUUCGGGUUGUAAAGCCCUUUUGUUGGGAAAGAAAAGCAGCAGGUUAAUACCCCGCUGUUCUGACGGUACCCAAAGAAUAAGCACUGGCUAACUUCGU
RNAcentral lists this ribosomal RNA (491 nucleotides) under uncultured bacterium. Its description in RNAcentral is "partial 16S ribosomal RNA". It matches the Rfam family "Bacterial small subunit ribosomal RNA", at positions 29 to 506 of the family's 1533-position model. The record is from RNAcentral.